This 1321-nucleotide ribosomal RNA is filed under the name Prorocentrum emarginatum. Its description in RNAcentral is "LSU rRNA". It matches the Rfam family "Eukaryotic large subunit ribosomal RNA", at positions 74 to 1391 of the family's 3401-position model. Lineage: Eukaryota; Dinophyceae; Prorocentrales; Prorocentraceae. The record is from RNAcentral.
AUCCCCUCUGUAAUGGCGAAUGAACAGGGGCCAGCUCACGGUGGAAAUUGGGGCCUGCUAGGCCCUUGAGUUGUAGUCUGUAGCUGCGUUGCCAAUGGAGGCGCACUUGUGAGCCCCUUGGAAGAGAGCACCGACGAGGGUGAGAGUCCCAUCUGUCAUUUGCAGACCUCUGUGCACGGCACGCCUUCGAGGAGUCGCGUUCUUCGGACGUGGAACGUGAAUUGGGUGGUAGAUUUCAUCUCAAGCUAAAUACUGAUUCAAGACCGAUAGAAGACAAGUACCGUGAGGGAAAGGUGAAAAGGACUUUGAAAAGAGAGUUAAAAGUGCCUGAAAUUGCUGGAAAGGAAACAAAUGUAACCAUAGCUGCUUGGCAAGAUUGUCGUGCGCCAAGGCAUCCCCAAGCGCGCGCGGUGCUUCUUACCUUGUGCGUCCACAUUACUUCAUGGCCAGGGAAACCUCAAGGCACGUGGUGGGCCUUCCUCCAAGGAGUGCGAAUGUGCUUGUGAAUCCCUGGCUGUGAGGGGCUAGCUUGCAUGUCUGGUCGCAACUUACCUGGGCCCUGACGCCCAAGCAGCUGACGGAAUGGUUCCUUCUGACCCGUCUUGAAACACGGACCAAGGAGUCUAACGUACGUGCGAGUUCGCGGGUGACGAAAGCCUGCUUGCGAAGUGAAAGCGAUGGCUGGGACAUUCGUGCCAGUGGCCAACCAAUCAAUUGCGAGAGGCUUGAGCACAAGCACAUCUGUUGGGUCCCGAAAGAUGGUGAACUAUGCUUGAGAAGGGCAAACUCAGGGGAAACUCUGAUGGAGGCUCGUAGCGAUACUGACGUGCAAAUCGUUCGUCGGACUUGGGUAUAGGGGCGAAAGACUAAUCGAACCAUCUAGUAGCUGGUUCCCUCCGAAGUUUCCCUCAGGAUAGCUGGAGUUGCACACUUUCAUCAGGUAAAGCGAAUGAUUAGAGGCAUUGGGGACGUGUGGUCUUCGACCUAUUCUCAAACUUUAAAUGGGUAAGAUCCACUGGUUGCUUGGGUGAACCUCUGGGAUGAAUGACAGCUCUAAGUGGGCCACUUUUGGUAAGCAGAACUGGCGAUGAGGGAUGAACCUAACGUUGGGGGAAGGUGCUAAAUUGCCCGCUCAUCGGAUACCAUAAAGGGUGUUGGUUCAUUUUAACAGCAGGACGGUGGUCAUGGAAGUUGAAAUCCGCUAAGGAGUGUGUAACAACUCACCUGCCGAAUGGACUAGCCCCGAAAAUGGAUGGCGCUCAAGCAGGUGACCGAUAUCCAACCAUUGCUGUAAAAUGCUGCAUCAAUGAAUAGGAGGGCA